UACGGGGGGGGCAAGCGUUGUUCGGAAUUACUGGGCGUAAAGGGCGCGUAGGCGGCCUUCUAAGUCGGACGUGAAAUCCCUCGGCUUAACCGAGGAACUGCGUCCGAUACUGAAAGGCUUGAAUCCGGGAGAGGGAUGUGGAAUUCCAGGUGUAGCGGUGAAAUGCGUAGAUAUCUGGAGGAACACCGGUGGCGAAGGCAGCUCUCUGGGACGGUACUGACGCUGAGACGCGAAAGCGUGGGGAGCGAACAGG
Molecule: ribosomal RNA, 253 nt
Filed under: uncultured bacterium
Lineage: Bacteria
Description: partial 16S ribosomal RNA
Rfam family: Bacterial small subunit ribosomal RNA
Source: RNAcentral